This is a long non-coding RNA of Beta vulgaris subsp. vulgaris (sugar beet), 302 nucleotides long. RefSeq lists it as uncharacterized. The record is from RefSeq and is a predicted model, not a curated record. The transcript has 2 exons. Lineage: Eukaryota; Viridiplantae; Streptophyta; Magnoliopsida; Caryophyllales; Amaranthaceae.
CGGAGACCCACCCACCAGAACCGGAAGGUUUGAAGCCGGAAUUCGCCGGAAAAUUCGCCGGAAAGAGGCGUAACUGUGUUUUUUCGUGAAUUGAAGCCGAUAGUUUAAUGCAAGUCAGGGGUGGUGGAGGAAGAUUUCACAGCGAAAUGGAUAGAUAACAAUGACAUGUUCGUUGUAUUUUGCGCGUCGGAUUGCUUUCUUUUGUAACGAUCUAAUGCAAGUGUAAUUUUAAGUACCUCACUUAGCAUUCUAAUGGUUGUAUGGAUGAUGUUAAGUACUUUGUAUGAUUAUUGUUUUAUGAA